UGUACACAGCAGGUGAGGGGGUGGAG
RNAcentral lists this non-coding RNA (26 nucleotides) under Rattus norvegicus (Norway rat). The record is from RNAcentral. Lineage: Eukaryota; Metazoa; Chordata; Mammalia; Rodentia; Muridae.